This 7250-nucleotide small RNA is filed under the name Pongo abelii (Sumatran orangutan). RNAcentral describes it as "processed transcript". The record is from RNAcentral. Lineage: Eukaryota; Metazoa; Chordata; Mammalia; Primates; Hominidae.
AUACCCUAAUCCAAUUUCCACUCAUAGUGGCCCUCAAGAUAUAAAAUGGGAAAUAAUUCAUGAAGUGAUCCCUUUUUUGGAUAAAAUAUUAUCACAAAACAGCACAGAAAUAGGAUCUUUCUUGAAAAUGGUGAUCGGUCUCACCUUAGAAGCUCUUUGGAAAAACUUAAAGAAAGAUAAUUGGAAUGUUUCUAAUCUGUUGAUGACAUUUACUCAGCAUCCGAAUAACCUUUUGAAAACCAUAGAAACAGUUUUAGAGGCCUCCAGUGGAAUUAAAAGUGACUAUGAAGGUGAUUUGAGUAAAAGUUUAUAUUUUGACACACCUUUGAGUCAGAAUAUAACUCAUCAUCAACUUGAAAAAGCAAUCCACAAUGUUUUAAGUAGAAUAGCUCUCUGGAGGAAAGGGCUUCUGUUUAACAACUCUGAAUGGAUAACUUCCACAAGAACUUUGUUUCAGCCACUUUUUGAGAUUUUCAUUAAAGCAACCACCGGAAAGAAUGUCACAUCAGAAAGAGAAGAGAGAAGCAAGAAAGAGAUGAUUGACUUUCCUUAUAGUUUCAAACCAUUUUCUUGUUUGGAGAAAUACCUGAGAAGAUUAUUUGUAUUGACUAAAUACUGGCAACAAAUCCCAUUGACAGAUCAAAGUGUUGUUGAGAUGUGUGAAGUUUUCCAGCAGACUGUGAAGCCCUCAGAAGCCAUGGAGAUGCUGCAGAAAGUGAAGAUGAUGAUCGUACGUGUGCUCACCAUCGUUGCAGAAAACCCUUCCUGGACCAAGGACAUUUUGUGUGCUACUCUGAGUUGCAAGCAAAGUGGGAUAAGGCAUCUUAUUUUAUCUGCUAUACAAGGGGUCACUUUGGCACAGGACCACUUCCAGGAAAUUGAAAAGAUAUGGUCCUCGCCGAAUCAGCUAAAUUGUGAAAGUCUUAGCAAGAAUCUUUCUAGCACCUUGGAGAGCUUCAAGAGCAGCUUGGAAAAUGCCACUGACCAGGACUGCACAUGCCAGCUGAGGCUGGAGACAGUGCAGCAGCACUUGCACAUGUUGGCCAAAAGCCUUGAGAAAACUUGGUCAUCAGGGAAUCCCAUCAUGACUUUUCUCAGCAAUUUCACAGUAACUGAGGAUGUAAAAGUAAAAGAUUUGAUGAAGAAUAUCACCAAGUUGACUGAGGAGCUUCGCUCUUCCAUCCACAUCUCGAAUGAGACUAUCCAUAGCAUGCUAGAAGCAAAUAUUUCCCACUCCAAGGUUCUCUUCAGUGCCCUCACCGUAGCUCUGUCUGGAAAGUGUGAUCAGAAAAUCCUUCAUCUCCUGCUGACAUUUCCCGAAGGGGAAAAAUCUUGGAUCGCGACGAAGGAACUCUGUAGCCUGCCGGGGUCAAAAGUGUAUCCUCUGAUUGUGUUGCUGAGUCGAAACCUGGAUGUGCGAGCUUUCAUUUACAAGACUCUGAUGCCUUCUGAAGCAAAUGGCUUGCUCAACUCCUUGCUGGAUGUAGUUUCCAGCCUCAGCUCCUUGCUUGCCAAAGCCCAGCACAUCUUUGAGUAUCUUCCUGAGUUUCUUCACACAUUUAAAAUCACUGCCUUGCUAGAAACGCUGGACUUUCAACAGGUUUCACAAAAUGUCCAGGCCAGAAGUUCAGCUUUUGGUUCUUUCCAGUUUAUGAUGAAGAUGGUUUGCAAGGACCAAGCAUCAUUCCUUAGCGAUUCUAAUACAUUCAUUAAUUUGCCCAGAGUUAACGAACUCUUGGAAGAUGACAAAGAAAAAUUCAACAUUCCUGAAGAUUCAACACCGUUUUGCUUGAAGCUUUAUCAGGAAAUUCUACAAUUGCCAAAUGGUGCUUUGGUGUGGACCUUCCUAAAACCCAUAUUGCAUGGAAAAAUACUAUACACACCAAACACUCCAGAAAUUAACAAGGUCAUUCAAAAGGCUAAUUACACCUUUUAUAUUGUGGACAAACUAAAAACUUUAUCAGAAACACUGCUGGAAAUGUCCAGCCUUUUCCAGAGAAGUGGAAGUGACCAGAUGUUCAACCAGCUGCAGGAGGCCCUGAGAAACAAAUUUGUGAGAAACUUUGUAGAAAACCAGUUGCACAUUGAUGUAGACAAACUUACUGAAAAACUCCAGACAUACGGAGGGCUGCUGGAUGAGAUGUUUAACCAUGCAGGUGCUGGACGCUUCCGUUUCUUGGGCAGCAUCUUGGUCAAUCUCUCUUCCUGCGUGGCACUGAACCGUUUCCAGGCUGUGCAGUCUGUCGACAUCCUGGAGACUAAAGCACAUGAACUCUUGCAGGAGAACAGCUUCUUGGCCAGUAUCAUUUUCAACAAUUCCUUAUUCGACAAGAACUUCAGAUCAGAGUCUGCCAAACUGCCACCUCAUGUCUCAUACACAAUCCGGACCAAUGUGUUAUACAGCGUGCGAACAGAUGUGGUAAAAAACCCUUCUUGGAAGUUCCACCCUCAGAAUCUACCAGCUGAUGGGUUCAAAUAUAACUACGUCUUUGUCCCACUGCAAGACAUGAUCGAAAGAGCCAUCAUUUUGGUGCAGACUGGGCAGGAAGCUCUGGAACCAGCAGCACAGACUCAGGCGGCCCCUUACCCCUGCCAUACCAGCGAUCUAUUCCUGAACAACGUUGGUUUCUUUUUUCCACUGAUAAUGAUGCUGACGUGGAUGGUGUCUGUGGCCAGCAUGGUCAGAAAGUUGGUGUAUGAGCAGGAGAUACAGAUAGAAGAGUAUAUGCGGAUGAUGGGAGUGCAUCCAAUGAUCCAUUUCCUGGCCUGGUUCCUGGAGAACAUGGUUGUGUUGACCAUAAGCAGUGCUACUCUGGCCAUCAUUCUGAAAACAAGUGGCAUCUUUGCGCACAGCAAUACCUUUAUUAUUUUCCUCUUUCUCUUGGAUUUUGGGAUGUCAGUCGUCAUGCUGAGCUACCUCUUGAGUGCAUUUUUCAGCCAAGCUAAUACAGCGGCCCUUUGUACCAGCCUGGUGUACAUAAUCAGCUUUCUGCCCUACAUAGUUCUAUUGGUUCUACAUAACCAAUUAAGUUUUGUUUUUCAGACAUUUCUGUGCCUUCUCUCCACAACCGCCUUUGGACAAGGGGUAUUUUUUAUUACAUUCCUGGAAGGACAAGAGACAGGGAUUCAGUGGAAUAAUAUGUACCAGGAUCUGGAACAAGGGGGCAUGACAUUUGGCUGGAUUUGCUGGAUGAUUCUUUUUGAUUCAAGCCUUUAUUUUUUGUGUGGAUGGUACUUGAGCAACUUGAUUCCUGGAACAUUUGGUCUAUGGAAACCAUGGUAUUUCCCCUUUACUGCCUCAUAUUGGAAGAGUGUGGGUCUCGUGAUGGAGAAAAGGCAAUACUCUCUAAGUUCUAGUCUGUUCUUCUUCAAUGAGAACUUUGACAGUAAAGGGUCAUCACUGCAAAACACGGAAGGAGAGCUUGAAGGAAGUGCCCCGGGAGUCACCCUGGUGUCUGUGACCAAGGAAUAUGAGGGCCACAAGGCUGUGGUCCAAGACCUCAGCCUGACCUUCUACAGAGACCAAAUCACCGCCCUGCUGGGGACAAAUGGUGCCGGGAAAACCACUAUCAUAUCCAUGUUGACGGGGCUCCACCCUCCCACUUCUGGAACCAUCAUCAUCAAUGGCAAGAACCUGCAGACAGACCUGUCGAGGGUCAGAAUGGAGCUUGGUGUGUGUCCGCAGCAGGACGUCCUGUUAGACAACCUCACCGUCCGGGAACAUUUGCUGCUCUUUGCUUCCAUAAAGGCGCCUCAGUGGACCAAGAAGGAGCUGCAUCAGCAAGUCAAUCAAACUCUUCAGGAUGUGGACUUAACUCAGCAUCAGCACAAACAGACCCGAGCUCUGUCUGGAGGCCUGAAGAGGAAGCUCUCCCUUGGCAUUGCUUUCAUGGGCAUGUCGAGGACUGUGGUUCUGGAUGAGCCCACCAGUGGGGUGGACCCUUGCUCCCGGCAUAGCCUGUGGGACAUUCUGCUCAAGUACCGAGAAGGUCGUACGAUCAUCUUCACAACCCAUCACCUGGACGAAGCCGAAGCGCUGAGUGACUGCGUGGCCAUCCUCCAGCACGGUAGGCUCAGGUGCUGCGGUCCUCCCUUCUGCCUGAAGGAGGCAUAUGGCCAGGGGCUCCGCCUGACACUCACGAGGCAGCCUUCUGUUCUGGAGGCCCAUGAUCUGAAAGACAUGGCUUUUGUUACAUCCCUGAUAAAGAUCUAUAUUCCACAAGCAUUUCUCAAAGACAGCAGUGGAAGUGAGCUGACCUACACCAUUCCAAAGGACACAGACAAGGCCUGCUUGAAAGGGCUCUUCCAGGCUCUGGAUGAGAACCUGCAUCAGCUGCACCUGACGGGCUAUGGGAUCUCAGACACCACCUUAGAAGAGGUGUUUUUGAUGCUUUUGCAAGAUUCCACUAAGAAAUCUCACAUUGCCCUGGGGACUGAGUCAGAGCUGCAGAACCAUAGGCCUACCGGACAUCUGUCUGGCUACUGUGGCUCCCUAGCACGGCCCGCACCUGUGCGGGGCCUCCAGCUGCUCCGCGCGCAAGUGGCAGCGCUCCUGGCCCGGAGGCUCCGCCGCACGCUGCGCGCCGGGAAGAGCACCCUCGCCGACCUGCUGCUGCCUGUCCUCUUCGUGGCCUUGGCCAUGGGCUUGUUCAUGGUGAGACCCCUGGCCACCGAGUACCCUCCCCUCAGACUCACACCUGGACAUUACCAGCGGGCCGAGACCUACUUUUUCAGCAGCAGUGGGGGCGAUGAUUUGGACCUCACUCGUGUGCUUCUACGGAAGUUUAGAGAUCAAGAUUUGCCCUGUGCAGAUUUAAACCCACAACAGAAGAAUUCUUCAUGCUGGCGCACAGAUCCCUUUUCUCACCCAGAAUUCCAGGAUUCAUGUGGCUGCCUGAAGUGUCCAAAUAGAAGUGCUAGUGCUCCCUACCUGACCAACCACCUGGGCCACACACUGUUGAAUCUCUCAGGCUUCAAUAUGGAGGAGUACUUGCUGGCACCAUCUGAAAAACCAAGGCUUGGAGGUUGGUCUUUUGGAGUAAAAAUCCCCCGUGAAGCUGGAGGUGCAAAUGCAAACAUAUCAAAACCCCCAACUCUGGCAAAGGUGUGGUAUAAUCAGAAGGGUUUUCAUUCCCUACCUUCCUAUUUAAAUCAUCUAAACAACCUUAUUUUGUGGCAGCACCUAUCCCCUACUGUGGACUGGAGACAAUACGGAAUAACACUCUACAGCCACCCAUAUGGAGGGGCCUUGCUGAAUGAGGACAAGAUCCUGGAGAGCAUCCGUCAGUGUGGAGUGGCCCUCUGCAUCGUGCUGGGAUUCUCCAUCCUGUCUGCAUCCAUUGGCAGCUCCGUGGUGAGGGACAGAGUGAUUGGAGCCAAAAGGUUGCAGCACAUAAGUGGCCUUGGCUACAGGAUGUACUGGUUCACAAACUUCCUAUAUGACAUGCUCUUUUACUUGGUUUCCGUCUGCCUGUGUGUUGCUGUUAUUGUCGCCUUCCAGUUAACAGCUUUUACUUUCCGCGAGAACUUGGCAGCCACGGCCCUCCUGCUGUCACUUUUCGGAUAUGCAACUCUUCCGUGGAUGUACCUGAUGUCCAGAAUCUUUCCCAGUUCCGACGUGGCUUUCAUUUCCUAUGUCUCACUAAACUUCAUCUUUGGCCUUUGUACCAUGCUCAUAACCAUCAUGCCCCGGUUGCUAGCCAUCAUCUCCAAAGCUAAGAAUUUACAGAAUAUCUAUGAUGUCCUCAAGUGGGUCUUUACUAUUUUUCCUCAAUUCUGCCUUGGUCAAGGACUGAUAGAACUCUGCUAUAAUCAGAUCAAAUACGACCUGACCCACAACUUCGGCAUUGAUUCCUAUGUGAGUCCCUUUGAGAUGAACUUUCUGGGCUGGAUCUUCGUGCAACUGGCCACGCAGGGCACAGUACUUCUCCUCUUGAGGGUUCUGCUACACUGGGACCUUCUGCGAUGGCCAAGGGGUCAUUCUACUCUCCAAGGCAUAGUCAAAUCCUCUAAGGAUACAGAUGUUGAAAAAGAGGAAAAGAGGGUGUUUGAAGGAAGGACCAAUGGAGACAUUCUUGUAUUAUACAACCUUAGUAAACAUUAUCGACGCUUUUUCCAGAAUAUUAUUGCUGUGCAAGAUAUUAGUUUGGGCAUACCAAAAGGAGAGUGCUUUGGACUUCUGGGGGUAAAUGGAGCUGGGAAGAGCACGACUUUCAAAAUGCUGAAUGGUGAAGUUUCUCCAACUUCAGGACAUGCUAUCAUCAGGACUCCCAUGGGAGAUGCCGUGGACCUGACUUCUGCUGGCGUGGCAGGUGUGCUCAUUGGCUACUGUCCCCAGCAGGAUGCCCUGGACGAGCUUCUGACUGGUUGGGAACAUCUCUAUUAUUACUGUAACUUACGCGGGAUUCCAAGGCAGUGCAUCCCUGAGGUUGCUGGAGACCUCAUCAGGCGCUUACACCUCGAAGCCCAUGCGGACAAACCUGUGGCCACCUACAGUGGGGGAACCAAGCGGAAACUCUCUACAGCCCUGGCCCUGGUGGGGAAACCUGACAUUCUUUUACUGGAUGAGCCCAGCUCUGGGAUGGAUCCCUGCUCUAAGCGGUACCUGUGGCAAACAAUAAUGAAGGAGGUUCAGGAAGGCUGUGCUGCGGUGCUGACCUCCCACAGCAUGGAGGAGUGUGAGGCUCUUUGCACAAGACUGGCCAUAAUGGUCAACGGCAGCUUCAAAUGUCUUGGUUCUCCUCAGCACAUCAAAAAUAGGAAGUUAAAUAAGACAAACUGAAGUCAGCUGGUGACCAAGCACAUGGAGAAGGCAGCAUGGGUGCAGGAGAUGUUGGAGAACACGAUAAUAGAACUUUACAGCCAGCUGAUCUGAGCUUGAGAAAAGGAGGUGCCUUCGGGUUUGGGACAUGGAAAGAUAGUGAUGUCUUUAGAGAAACAGAAGUUGGGUGGGCUGUGAGGGUGAGGAGGAUUCUGGGUGUUGAGUAUGUUCCUAGGGAAGCACUGAUGGGCUGUUUGGAGAAUUCCUAUGAAGAAGGGCCGUUGAUAUUCAUGUCUGUUUUGCUAUGGCAAGAAGGAGGAGAGAAAACUUAAAGUUGGGGGUGAUUAUUGCAUGUGGUUGAGAAGGAGGAAUAAGUAGCUGAAUUCAUCACAACUUUGAAGCAAUAUUUAUAAACUGAAGUAAAGUGAGCUGAGCUCAGAUUCAUGCUUCUGCAUUUAUUUUAAUUAUUACUAAAUAUAGGCAAUUUGCC